ACACAUGCAGUCGAGCGGAUGACAGGAGCUUGCUCCUGAAUUCAGCGGCGGACGGGUGAGUAAUGCCUAGGAAUCUGCCUGGUAGUGGGGACAACGUUUCGAAAGGAACGCUAAUACCGCAUACGUCCUGCGGGAGAAAGCAGGGGACCUUCGGGCCUUGCGCUAUCAGAUGAGCCUAGGUCGGAUUAGCUAGUUGGUGAGGUAAUGGCUCACCAAGGCGACGAUCCGUAACUGGUCUGAGAGGAUGAUCAGUCACACUGGAACUGAGACACGGUCCAGACUCCUACGGGAGGCAGCAGUGGGGAAUAUUGGACAAUGGGCGAAAGCCUGAUCCAGCCAUGCCGCGUGUGUGAAGAAGGUCUUCGGAUUGUAAAGCACUUUAAGUUGGGAGGAAGGGCAUUAACCUAAUACGUUAGUGUUUUGACGUUACCGACAGAAUAAGCACCGGCUAACUCUGUGCCAGCAGCCGCGGUAAUACAGAGGGUGCAAGCGUUAAUCGGAAUUACUGGGCGUAAAGCGCGCGUAGGUGGUUUGUUAAGUUGGAUGUGAAAUCCCCGGGCUCAACCUGGGAACUGCAUUCAAAACUGACAAGCUAGAGUAUGGUAGAGGGUGGGUUGGAAUUUCCUGUGUAGCGGUGAAAUGCGUA
RNAcentral lists this ribosomal RNA (646 nucleotides) under uncultured bacterium. RNAcentral's name for it is "bacterial SSU rRNA". It matches the Rfam family "Bacterial small subunit ribosomal RNA", at positions 51 to 692 of the family's 1533-position model. The record is from RNAcentral.